This 269-nucleotide unclassified non-coding RNA is filed under the name Scutellinia scutellata. Its description in RNAcentral is "partial internal transcribed spacer region". The stretch from base 1 to 46 matches the Rfam family "Eukaryotic small subunit ribosomal RNA", at positions 1786 to 1831 of the family's 1831-position model. The record is from RNAcentral. Lineage: Eukaryota; Fungi; Ascomycota; Pezizomycetes; Pezizales; Pyronemataceae.
AAGUCGUAACAAGGUUUCCGUAGGUGAACCUGCGGAAGGAUCAUUAAAAGUAAUAUGUAUUCUCACGAAUAUACAUUAUAAACCCAUCUGUGUAUCUUACCUGUUGCUUCCGCGAGCCAGUGAUCUCGGUCACCUCCGCGGGAUGGCGAAAGCCAUCCUCCGGGGAGCACUCGCGGGAGGUAUACAUCAAACUCUUGCAUUUUUAUGUCAUCUGUCUGAACUGUUUAUAACAAAUGUUAAAACUUUCAACAACGGAUCUCUUGGUUCUC